RNAcentral lists this unclassified non-coding RNA (218 nucleotides) under Hevea brasiliensis (rubber tree). The record is from RNAcentral. Lineage: Eukaryota; Viridiplantae; Streptophyta; Magnoliopsida; Malpighiales; Euphorbiaceae.
AUAUAUAUAUAUAUAUAUAUUCGUGAAAGGCUUCAAAAAGUUCAACGUACAGCAUCAUCAAUCGAAGUUGUGUUGAAAUAUGUUUGAAUUUACUUCAGAUGUUUUAGGCUGAUACUAAGCCAUAUCUGUGAUGUACUCUCUGGUGUUCCAUGUUGUGUAUGCUAUGUUACUUUAUAGUCUGCUCGAGUUUGUUUAAAUUGUUACCUAUUUAUACUCUA